RNAcentral lists this long non-coding RNA (10088 nucleotides) under Physcomitrium patens. RNAcentral's name for it is "long non-coding RNA (PPAT_LNC009773)". Lineage: Eukaryota; Viridiplantae; Streptophyta; Bryopsida; Funariales; Funariaceae. The record is from RNAcentral.
UAUAUGAAAAGUUAUUAAAAGAUUGAUUAUGGAUGGAAGAUUAUGAUUGUUGUUUAUUGAGAGUUGUGUGUGUUUCGACAAAGAAAGUCUGUGAUUACAAAAAUUAUGUGAAUCCAAAUUGGUUGGAGUGAAGUUUGUUAUUUCUAGUGUUGGAUGGAAUUUAUGUAUUUUGAGUGGUCUUUUGAGAGUGUAGGAUUGCACAUUGUUGUUAUCCGUUGAUGAAGGAGUAUUAUGACUGGGAGAAAGCAUUGUAGUAUUUCUUGGUAUUUUAGUGGUUUGGAUUACAAUUAAUUGUGUGAUCCUGACGUGUAAGCUCAUGUGAUAGUCUUUCUUUGUAUUUAAAUUCCUCUCUACGGGUUUAUUUUGAAAGAAAUUUGUAGAAUAAGUAAAAUAAUAACCACAUUUUGGCACUGCUGUCAAAGAACGACAAUAAUAUUGAGUGAUAGGAAUUAACGGUCAAAUGAGUAAUUUUGGAUGUUGUGCAAAGAAAUUAUAAAAUUAAAAUUGAUUCGAAAUUGAAGAGAAUUGUGUAGUUAGAUAGAAGAUAGGAAGCAAAUUUGGGAGUAUAUAAUGAAAGAUUAUGAUUAUUAAGAAUAAAAACAUUGUAAUAAAGAAAAUACAUCAGCCGAAAGAAAGACAAGAGAGAGCACAAACAAGAAAAUUGUUACAAAACGAGCAAGAAGACAAGCUUAAAAAAAAGUGUGGAAAAAGUUGGAUUAAGCCAUGGUUGCAUGCUUGUUGACAUAUCCGAGCAUACUCAGAGACUGAUCGACCUCUAAUAUUUUAGACAUAUAUACCAUUAAAAAAAUUUCCUUGAGCACUCGCAAAAUUUUUUGUUAAUAGCCCAGCAUAUCUCUUGAGCUCAUUAACUGCAAGUAGAAGAAACACACAAGUAUUGGAUACUUCCUUUGAUACCUUCCCAAUAGCGAAAACUACCAAUUCUAUUAAUAUUGGUCCUAUAGAAUGCCAUAAACUGCUUGUCAAUAAAGGCCAAUUCAGCUUAUUUCAAAAUUCAUCAUUUUUACCUUCAAUUCAACCAAUAAACUUAUUUAGAGAUAAUAAUAGUAAAUUGGGGAGGUUGAAAAGUUUGAAAAAGAUAAUUGGGGAAGAUAGUGGUAAUUUUAAUAAGAGAUUAAGUGACACAUUGUCAUCUUCAAUGAUGACAAGUGGUCCAACAGUUCCAAUAGCAAUUCAAAUAGGUGAUAUGGACGAUCGUAUAACUAGCAUGGUUCCAUUACCUACUUUUAGGGGCUUACCAAGUAUAGAUCCAGAUCAAUACUUGUCUUAGUUCCUGACUAUAUGUGUAGCUAAUAAUGGUAGAACUGAAGAUAUUUGAUUGCAAUGGUUAUUAGUGACCUCAAAAGAUACGACAUUUGAAUGAUAUAAUUGUCAAAUUGUAGGUCAAUUUUCUAAUUGGGAAGCAUUAAAGAAUGCAUUUUUAAUCCAUUUUUGCCCAAUUGGUUUUGAGAAUCGACUUUGAGAAAGAUUAAUGAAUAGCAAAAUGAAUCCAAGAAAGAUAGUGGAAUCAUAUUAUGGCUGUGUGGCAGAUAUACUCCGCAAGUGGCUAAAUCAUCAAAUAUUGGAGGCUUUUAUAUUAUCCAUAUUAAUCAACGGAUUGCACUCACUUGAACUAAAAAUAUUUAUAAAAGAUUCUGAAUCAAAUACAAUAAUUGCAUCUCUUAAUCGAGCCAUGAUUUGGGAGGAAUACGAUUAUGAUCAAUUUUUAACUAUGGGAGCUACUAUGAUUCCAGUUCAAGGAAGUUAUCAAAUCCUGGCAUGGAAUAGAGCAAAAGAUUAGUUUUUCAAAAAUAUUUGAUAUAGGGGCCAAUUCAGGUGCUAAUUCACAAGGAAUAGUUAAUGUCACCCCAUUGCAAGCUAUACCACCAAACAUGGCAACAUCGCAAUUUCUAUACUUCUCUUAUUAGGAGCAACCAUUGACUACGAUAGAGUUGCCAAUAGUAUCAGCUCGGAAGGAUUCUAAUGAAACCUUGUUGUUAAAUUUGACUAAAAAAAAUAGAGGAAGUGGCAGUGAAUUUGGCAAGUAUUAAAAAAAGAGGCAAAAACCUACUAAUACUAGGUCUAAUGUAUACUGCAGUAGUUGUAAGGGCCAAGGUCAUUUAGUGACAAAAUGCCCCUCUCUUCCACAAAUGAUGGUGCAAUAUACAUUAUGUGGAAGAAAGCAUUUGGCAACCAAUUGUUGGAAUUCAAAAAAGCAACAACAAUUUGGUAAUUAAACCAUGAUUCCACCCACGUAGUAGGAUGUCAAUCAAGUUCAAAUGAAAAAUACAUUUGGCUAGAAUGGAACUUGUUCAAAUAGGUAAAAUCGAGCCUUUAAUAACUUUCAAGGUCUAAAAUAUAAUCCGAGUUCUACAUUGAACUUCCAUAAUUAUGUGAAGGAAUAGCUAAGAUAUCAGUUAUAUUUUCCAUCACCGUAAUUGAUUCUAAUUUUCUCCUUACUAAUAAGACAACCAAAAUCAUUUACUAAUUCAACUUGGAACAGACCUAGUCAUUAUAUAUUGGUGGAGUCAUCCAAUAUGCCUAAUGGAGGUAGAAGAAGACCACUUUAUUGUUACCGUUUCAGGCACAUUGAUCAUUACAUUAGUGAAUGUUCUAAUCCAAGAGCCAGUGAUGACUAUGCUCCAGUUUGUAGAAAUUGUAAGUAGUCGGGGCAUACAUAUUAGCAGUAUAAUGCUCCAUUCAAUUUCAACAACUGUGAUCAGCAGAUCCAGCUACAAAAUAAGAUCGAAGAUAAUAAUCAAGGUCUCUAAGAUUCCUUGAUAAAUUGGAUGGAAUGUGUUCAAGCAGUACUUACUAAGAGCUAGAAAAAGGAUAAAAAAUCAAUUCAACACUUGGGUGAACUAAUUGUGAAGGACCAAUUCAAUCUAUUUAUGGGGAUGUCAAAUCUAGUUCCUAUAAUGGGUAUCUUACCGAUGAUGAGACUUGGUCUAUCUAUGUAAAUCAAUGAAAUCCUAACCAUCAAGGUCUCGCCUCAGUCUAAACCAGUUCCAUCCUUUGUGCAGUUCUAGGAGACGUCUUAUCCAUUAAAAGAUCUUCUUAUGAACAGACAUUCCACGAAAAGCUCUUUAAAUUGUUUCAAUUUCGAGUCCAAGAAAGAAAAUUAUAUUACCUCAAUGGUGUAAGCUGAAAUAAAUGAAAAGAAAGCGGGCAUUGGAAAUUUCUUUAAAUAUGGAGCCUUAUGACAUUUUGAAAGAUCUGGAUGCUAUUCAGCCUUUUAUUUCAAUGAAGCAACUUCUAGCAGUAGUACCGGAGUGUCAUUCUAUGUUGAAUUCAUCGUUAAUAUGGCAUAGGCAAUGUAACAAAGUUUAUGAGGUCAUUUUGAACCUUGACCCAAGCGUGCCAACUAUCGAUGUAUUGAUAGAUGGCAUUAUGAUUUUUAGAGUCCAAGUAGAUGGUGGCUCUAGCAUCAAUUUAAUGAACGCAGAUACAAUGGAUACUUUGAACUUAGCACAUUUGGUAUCCACGACAUUGGUAUUAUGGAUGGUAGAUCAUAACCAAGUUAAAUCCAUGGAUAUAUUACAAAAUAUUCAAACUAUAAUUACUAGUAUUGAAUACAAAAUAGACUAUAUUGCUUUUUGGUUACAAUGUUCAACUUUACCAUAUCUAAUUUUAUUUGGACAAUCCUGGCUUUAUCAAGCAAACUCGAUGCAUCGGAUUAGUACACUAGAAUUAUAAUUGAGUACCUUCAGUAUGUCAGACUCGGCAAAUGGAUCAGAACCAGCGAGAAAGUUGAAACAGGAAAAGGAAUUUGAGCCUUUAUGUCAAAUUAUUAACUUGACAACAAAUAAAAUGCCUUGGACAAUUAAAAUUUACAAAGGUAUUCAAGAUCAAGAGUUGACAUGUUGGAAUGAAUUUUUCAUUCACCAUAAAUCCGCUUUUGCUUGGACUUAUGUUGAUUUGAAAGAUAUUUUCAUAGAAGUCUGCGAGCAUUGGAUCAUUUUGGAGGAGAAUGCUAAAUCUGUUUGUCAAAGAUAACACCAACUUAAUCCAAAAUAUUUCCUAAUAGUGAACGAAGAAUUAGACAAGCUUAUUGUCAUUGGUUUUAUUUAUCCGAUACCAAAUAGUGAGUGGAUUUCUCUAAUCAUGAUGGUGCCAAAGAAGAAUGGCAAAAUCAGAAUUUGCCACGACUUCUGAAAAUUAAAUGCGGCUACUAAGAAUGAUUACUUUCUAUUAUCUUUUAUGGAUAUUAUAUUCGAUGCUAUUGUAGGGCAUGAAUGUUAUUUUUUUCUAGAUGGAUUUUUUUAGUUAUAAUAAAAUUAAAAUUACAAAGGAAGAUCAGUUAAAGACUACUUUCACUAUGGACUGGAAAAUAUUUGUUUAUAGCGUUAUGCUAUUUAUUUUAUGUAAUGUUUCAGCCACGUUUCAAUGGAUGAUGACUCAGGCAUUUCAAGAUUAUUUAUGAAUAUUUACAGAGAUUUUUUUAGAUGACUUUUGUACUUUCAGUCCAAAACAUGAUCAUUUGAAAUGCCUAGGCAAAUGUUUAGAUUAAUGUAUUACAUAUGGGAUAUCAUUGAAUUUUGAUAAAUGCAAAUUUGGUAUUCCACCUGAAAAACUCCUGGAAGUCAUAGUUUCCAGAUGCAAUAUUGCCACUGAUUUAGAUAAAGUUCAACACAUAAUAAACUUACCAAGACUAGAGACAAUAUCGAGUGUUCACGAUUUUGUCUGCCAUGUCAAUUAUUAUCGAUGAUUUAUUCAUUCAUUUGUAAUCCUCUGUCAACCUUUGACUAAUCUUUUAAAGAAAUCUCUAUCAGAUGGGAUCAAUCCAAUUUGGAGCAAGAAGUGUAUAGUGGCAUUUGAAGAAUUGAAGCGAAAAUUGGUAUCUGCCCUAGUAUUACUAGCCUUUUGUUGGACAAAGCCAUUUCAUGUGUAUGUUGAUGCAUCUAAUGUUGCUAUUGGAUUUGUGUUAAGUUAGAAAGAUGAAAAAAAAAUGGAUCAUCUGAUAUAUUAUGCUAGUCGAUAAUUGGUGGCUGUCGAACAAAAUUACACUACUAUUAAAUGGAAAGCUUUGGACAUGAUAUAUUUGGUUCAAAAAUUUCGGCAUUAUUUGUUGGAUUAUCUAUUUGUAUUUUAUGUGGAUCAUGAUUUUUUAAAAUACAUGAUUAAUAAGCCUUAGUUGAUUGGACGUAUUACUAGAUAGAUAUUACUAUUAUAGGAAUUCAAUUUUACUAUUAUUGUAAGAUUUAAGAAGAACUAUGUGAAUGUUGACCAUUUAUCCUGGUUGUUCAAUAUCCUGGGUAAUAAAUAUGUUCCUGAUGUACUUUUCGACUCUGAUUUAUUUGUUGUGGAUGUGAUUUCACUGGAGUGUAGUGAAAUAAUUUAGUUUUUGACAUUCCAAACAUUUCUACCUGCAUUAAGCGAGAAGCUUAAGAAAUACUUAAUUUUGAAAAGUGCACCAUAUAUAAUGAUUGGUGAUGUUUUGUAUAAGCAAGGAAAGGAUGGCAUUUUACAAUGUUAUAUCUUUCAAAGUGAAAUACAGUCGAUAUUGGAUAAUUACCAUUUAGAUAAUUACGGUGGAUAUUUUGCCAAUGAUAGUACUGCUCAUAAAGCUUUAAUGGCCGGAUAUUGGUGGCCAACAAUGUUUUUAGAUGUACACCAAUAUGUUUGUCAUUAUGAUCUAUGUCAAAGAAUUGAUCAACCAACUAGCACUUCUGCCAUGCCAUUAUUAUUAAUUUUGGCCUAAGUACUAUUUGAAAAAUGAGGAAUUGAUUUUGUUGGACCAAUGCCACUAACAUCGCAACAUGGACAAAAGUGGUAUAUUUUAGUCGCCAUGAACUAUAUAAUCAAAUGGAAAGAGGCUGUUGCAACACAACAUGAUAAUGCAAAUACUGUCACCACUUUUCUAUAUAAGAAUAUUAUCACUUGAUUUGGAUAUCCUAAAGAAUUGAUUAGUGAUUGAGGAACCUAUUUUAUUAAUUCUACAAUUACAGCUUUGACAGAUAUGUACAAGAUCAAGUAUAGGAAAACAACUCCAUAUCAUCCUAGAGCCAAUGGACAAAAAAAAAAGACUAACGGUAUUUGUAGAAUAGAUAUUAGUUUGUUUCUGUAAGAUAUUGGUAAAAUAGACUAAUAGUCCAUAGAAUAGUCAGUUCAGGAGGACGGAUGAUUGAUUUAGUUAUUAAAAGCAGUUAAUUACAUGAUUAUGAUUAAAAUGUGGAAAUUAAGAGUAAUUAUAUAGGAAUUGUAGAAGUUUGUUGGAGUGCCAAACUGUGAUAGUCAUGAGCCGAAGUAAGCUUGGUACUACUUCUUUAUCUCUUUGUUUGUUUGUUUUCUUUGUUAUUGAAGAAUAAUGGAUAGUUUCUGAAUACUGAGAAGUGAAUUUGUAGAAUAAAUCAGAGAUUGAUUUAUGAGUUAUUGAUUAUGUAAUUGGAGUACUGAGUGAUUGAAUUAUAUGAGGAGUUAUUGAAAAAUUAUGAUUGUUGUUUAUUGAGAGCUAUGUGUGUUUUGAAAAAAAGAAGUCUGUAAUUACAGAAAUUAUGUGAAUUCAAAUUGUUGGAGUGAAGUCUAUUAUUCCUAGUGUUGGAUGGAAAUUAUUGUGUUUUGAGUAGUAUUUUGAGAGUGCAGAGUUGCACAUUGUUGUUAUCACUUGAUGAAGGAGUAUUGUUAAUAGGAAAGAGCAUCGUAGUAUUUUUUAGUAUUUUAGUGGUUCGGAAUAUGGUUAAUUGUGUGACCCUAACAAGUAAAACUCAUGUACUUAGUCUUUCCCUGUGUUCGAAUUCUCCUAUACAGGUUUAUUCUGAAAAGAAUUGUAGAAUAAGUAAAACGACAAUCAUAGUAUUUUAUGCAAGAUAUUAACGAAGACUAUUUCAAGGGCGAGCAUAGAUUGGGAUACCAAAUUAUUUGCAAUCUUAUGGCCAUAUCGUACAAUGUCUAAAGUGACAACUAAUUCCACCCCAUUCAAAUUGGUUUACGGGCAAGAAAUGCUCUUACCUAUCGAAUUGGAAGUUCAGAGUUUACGGAUUGCAAUAGAUGAACGACUUAGUGAUAAAGAGUGUGUACACUAUCGGUUGGUUAAAUUAAAAGAAUUAGAUGAAAUUUGGGCUAUUGCUCUUUUAACAAUGGAAGCUAUCCAGAAAUGAUGCAAGAGUUACUAUGAUAGUAAACUGCAACCUAAGAAUUUUAUACCCAAUGAUUUGGUCUUACUUUAUGAUAGUUAUUUUAAUACUUUUCUAGAAAAAUUUCAAAUCCAAUGGCAUGGUCUGUAUCAAAUAGUUGAAGGAUUUUUCAACAGAUUAGUCUAAUUGGAAGAUUUUAUGGGCUAUCAAUUGAAUACAUGUAUUAAUAGGAACUGAUUACAGCUAUAUUAUAUUUAAAACUUGUGACGAGUUUCAAUUUUUUUCUUCGAGUUAUACUUAUUGAUAUAGGUGGACUAGGAUAUAGAGGCAGCUAAAAGGAUAGUUAGAGAUAUAAUUAGUCAUAGAUCAAAUGGGAUGGCAGAAGAAACGGACAAUAUGGAUAACAUGUUGUCGUUAUCACCACUAGAUAAAAGAAUAAGAGUGAGGCAUCUAUUCAAGGUGAUUCUAUGGUAUCACAUUCUGUUGUUGUUUUUUUGUAUUAUAAUUUCUUGUGUUUCGAGAGUACUGGAGAGUAGUAUUGACAGUUAAAGCUUAGAAAGAGUGCAAAGAGAGCUAUAGAUAGAGAUGAAAGUGGCCAAAAUGUGAAAGCUAAAUGUAAUUUGGGACCACCAUUCGUAGUAAUUGUUACUAAUAUAGAGCCUAUGAAAUUAGAGAUUUGUUGGAUGCCAAGAAGAAUAUAGGAUUUUUGAAAUGCACAAAUGUUUCAAUUUUUACAAAAGUCAUAUAGCUUACCAUCAAUUAAUGUGGCAUUAGUGGAAGAAUAUAUUAUAAACUAUGAUCCAAAGGAUGGAUCGAGCGUAGUAGAAGGGUACAUUAUCGGUAUGGAUGAAAAGAUCAUAGAAAAGUUGUUGUAUCUUUGAAUUAGAGAGCUUGCGGUAGGAACGAUGGAUUCUAGCGAUUUCAACCCAAGAGAAUUUUUUAAAGGUGGAAUAUCAUCGUUUGAGAAGAACGAAGGUUGACAGACAAUUCAGGCAAUUACACUAGAGCUCAUGGAAUGGAUGCGCUACAUAUUGAGGCAUUUAUGGUUGUAUCAACACAACAUAUAUAUGUCAAGACGGUUAAUAUUUGCAGCAAUAGGGACGCUUGAUGGGAUGGUAUUCAACUGGACAGCUUAUGUAGCAACUUGUAUUCAUACAAAAAUAGGAGCUAAACAAAAAAUAUGGAAGUUUAUAGUGUUGCUCUAUUCUAACUAUGUGUAUGCUAUGAUUAUAUUUACAUUGAAUCAAGCAAUACCAAUAGUGGAGAGAAACGUAUCCUUCCCAAUGCUUCAACAAGGUGAACAAAAUUUAUUGGCAUUGAUUGCCAAUUCAAGGGAUAUAGUACAUGAAAUUAGGAAAUACAAUCAUACAUUGGUAUAAGAGGUAGUUCUAGAAGUUGUACCAGAACCAACUCCGAUUAGUUUGGUGGUGGAAGAGGAGAAUGAAGUCCCAAUUUUGUUAGAUAUCAAUCAAUUGGCAUUUCCACAUGGUCAACUACUAGAAGGCGUACAUCUUAAGAAUGCUUUAUUGAAGUAUAUUUUGCAAAUACAUUGCAUGGUAUGAGCAUUGGAUGAAGAAGGCAGUGUUAAAGAAGAAUUGGAGGCAAACAAAAAAGUAAUAUUGGAGCAGAAUUGAAGAAUUGCAGAGAAAGAAGAAAUCAUCCAAGCUUGAAUGAAAGAAAAAGAACACAUCUUAAAGAUCAUGGAAGGUCAAUGGGACAAAUUGCUUCAGAAUUAUAGGAUAUGGAAUUUGGAACAGGAAAAAGUCAGGUGCCAAUUACAAGUGGAAUGGAAAAAGGUAGAGUUCUUGGCGCAAGAGAAAGUGGUAUUGAGUGACUAAUACAGAUGUGAAAUAUAGCAGUUGAGGACUGAAAUUGAAGCAUUGAACAUUGAAGUGUUAAAAUUGGUAAAUAAUAUUGUCAAUAUUAGUUAGUCACAAGUAUCGAUGAUGCCAGUUUCCAAAGUUUUAGACUAGAUGAUUCAGCAUCAACACUAAUUUGAAUUGAGGGAUGCCCAAAUCUUCAAAUUGGAGGCUCAAGUCCAUGAAUUGGGCAAGUACAAUAAAGACCUUUCAGCCCAAUUGAGGAAGGAGCCGACGAAAGGAUUGGACAAGGAUAAAAGUUUACAUUUAGAACCAGAAUUGGUGGAACCAACAACAUAUAAUGCGGUAGUUGAUCAACUGGGUAGACCGAAGGGAUAGCAAUUUGAUAGAGUUUUGUUUAGUUUUUUUUAGAUAUAUAUCAAUUCUGUGUUUGCAAGGAUGCUGUAUAGUUAAGAGUGGAGCUAUAUAGAAGAGGUAGAAAUUUAUUUUUGUAAGAUAUUGAUAAAGUAGAUUAAUCAUUCCUAGGAUAGGUAAUUCAAUAGGAUGGAUAAUUGAAUUAAUUAUGAAAAAUGAUUAAAUAGGGAAUGACAGUUAGAAUUUGAAAUUUUAAAAGUAAAGCAUAAGUAAGUUGAAGAAGAUAUUGUAAAGACCAAAUUAUAAUAGUCAUGAGUCGAGGUAAGCUUGGUGCUACCUCUUUAUUUUUUUAUUGUUGAAGAGUAGUGGAUAGUUUCUAAUACUGUGAAGUGAAUCUGUGGAAUAAAUCAAAGAUUGAUUUAUGACUUAUUGAUUAUGUAAUUGGAGUAUUGUGAUUGAAUUAUAUGAGAAGUUAUUGGAAGAUUGAUUAUGGAUAGAAGAUUAUGAUUGUUGUUUAUUGAGAGUUGUGUGUGUUUUAACAGAGGAAGUCUGUGAUUACAAAAAUUAUGUGAAUCCAAAUUGGUUGGAGUGAAGUUUAUUAUUUUUGGUGUUGGAUAGAAUUUAUGUCUUUUGAGUGGUCUUUUGAAAGUGCAAAGUUGCACAUUGUUGUUAUCAAUUGAUAAAGAAGUAUUAUUACUGGGAGAAAGCAUUGUAGUAUUUCUUGAUAUUUUAGUCGUUUGGAUUGUAGUUAAUUAUGUGACCCUAAUAUGUAAGUUCAUGCAAUAGUCUUUCCUUGUGUUUAAAUCCCCUUCUAUGGGUUUAUUUUGAAAGGAAUUUGUAGAAU